This 397-nucleotide RNase P RNA is filed under the name Eubacteriales Family XIII. Incertae Sedis bacterium. RNAcentral's name for it is "RNase P RNA component class A". It matches the Rfam family "Bacterial RNase P class A". From Rfam's summary of the family: Ribonuclease P (RNase P) is a ubiquitous endoribonuclease, found in archaea, bacteria and eukarya as well as chloroplasts and mitochondria. Its best characterised activity is the generation of mature 5'-ends of tRNAs by cleaving the 5'-leader elements of precursor-tRNAs. Cellular RNase Ps are ribonucleoproteins. The record is from RNAcentral. Lineage: Bacteria; Bacillati; Bacillota; Clostridia; Peptostreptococcales; Anaerovoracaceae.
AGAGCAAGCCAGACGAUCGCGCCGGUUUUCCGUACAGCGAGGGCCGGUGAGGAAAGUCCGGGCUCCAUAGGGCAAGGGUGCCGGCUAACGGCCGGCGCGGGCAACCGUAGGGAAAGUGCAACAGAAACAUACCGCCAAAGCCGGAUUUUCCGGCCGGUAAGGGUGAAAUGGUGCGGUAAGAGCGCACCGGCGUCUUGGAGACAAGGCGGCCGUGAAAACCCCACCCGGAGCAAGGCAGAGGGGAGAGACCCCGCGAGAGCGGGACACCGGCCCGGUGUGAUCCCCAGUAGGUAGCCGCAAGCGGGCGUCUGUGAUGGCGCCCCGGAGGCGGGCGGCAACGUCCGUCCCAGAUAGAUGAUCGUCCACGACAGAACCCGGCUUACGGCUUGCUCGAUUU